UCAACCACAUAGAGAUGAAGACCCAUUUU
RNAcentral lists this non-coding RNA (29 nucleotides) under Rattus norvegicus (Norway rat). Lineage: Eukaryota; Metazoa; Chordata; Mammalia; Rodentia; Muridae. The record is from RNAcentral.